GAGAUACUAGUGAAACCUGUAUUACACCGCCUUGUCAAGGCCGAAUUGCGGGUUAGACCCCCGUGUAUCUUU
This 72-nucleotide transfer RNA is filed under the name Aptocyclus ventricosus (smooth lumpsucker). RNAcentral's name for it is "tRNA-Asp". It matches the Rfam family "tRNA". From Rfam's summary of the family: Transfer RNA (tRNA) molecules are approximately 80 nucleotides in length. Lineage: Eukaryota; Metazoa; Chordata; Actinopteri; Perciformes; Cyclopteridae. The record is from RNAcentral.